UAAAAAAAAGUUCUAACCUGUUCUCUGUUUUGCAGAUGCAACCCCCCCCCCUUUCAUGGAGCAGAAGACCACCGAGGUCCACUCGCUUCUUGAUUUUGAAAGCACACCACUAACGGCAUUGCUACAGCUGCAGAGCCACGCCAGUUUACCAUUUCCUUUGCUAUCUGUAUUCCUACGCCAGCCCUGACGUCCUGGGGUUGUCUUCGCUUGAAGAGAAUCAAGCGAAUAAAGGAUCCUCCUGUUUUCAGCUGCGCAGCAGCGAACAUCUAUCAGACAGAUUUGGACAUUUCAAUGGUUUUGAAGUGCCGGCGGCCACACAGACAAACCACCCCCUCUCAACCAAGUCGUUAUUUUCUCAGUUGAAAGAAGAGCCAAUAUUUUGGCAGCUUAUGGAGCUUUUACGGACACACUAAAUGCUUCAGGCAGCAGCCGAGCGUUGCAGCCCUGCUUGGCACAGGACCAGCUUCGAGGUGGGAUCAGGGCAUCCAGCGCUGCAUCCCACCGAGGACAGAGGACGUCUCCCGGAGGCCGGGGAUCCCACGGCCCCGCCAGGCACCAAUCCCCGGCUGACAGCCUUUCUGGCUGUCUAGUUUCUUACGGCCACAGAAAUGCAGUCCAAGGUAAAUUAAGGGAACGUGGUUAUUAGGACUUCUGAAAGAUCCAGUAGUCACCAGCUAAACCAUAUCAUAAAAAGAACCGAUCUAUGCCAACAAAUGAAGUCCCUGAAAAAGCCUGGAAGCAAAAUGGCUAUAAUUAAAACCUGAAAGCAAUGACUUCAUAAAGAAGUAAACGAAGAGGCGGGCUCUUUGUAAAUGAUGAUCUAAAAAAAUGUUCUGGGUUGUGAGACCUCAUUUCAAAUGUAUUCAUUAAAUAAUAUUUGAAUCAUUUAACAGUUUGAACUCUACUGCACUGUUAAUAUCUUCAGGGGAUUUUUUUUUUUUUCCCCCAGCAACAAAGAAGUCUUUGUUCUAUCUCUAUGCUUGGGCUGUGCCUUGGAUAUUAGUUGGAAACCUGAUCGCCUGACAUCGCUAGAAGUCUGUGCGUACAAUGUGAGUCGUCUGCAGCCGGGAUUAAAUCAGGCCUUUUGUACCGAGAUGCUGAGGGGCCAUGUGAUCUUGGAGAAGCGAUGGUUAUGGAUGGCAGGAGAUUUUUAACCCUUUGCGCCUGUGGCAGGGAGCCGGGGGGGUUUGCUGAUGUGAAUGUUUGCAGGGGAGGGGGCUGCACAGGGGCAGCCAGGGCUGCUAUGUGUACCAAUCGUUAGUGAGCCUGAGAAAUUCCUGUCAAAAAA
Molecule: long non-coding RNA, 1288 nt
Filed under: Aquila chrysaetos chrysaetos
Lineage: Eukaryota; Metazoa; Chordata; Aves; Accipitriformes; Accipitridae
Description: lncRNA (ENSACCG00020010282.1)
Source: RNAcentral